CGUGGUCCUUGUGUUAAGGUGCAUCUAGUGCAGUUAGUGACGUAGCGUAGAAUCUACUGCCCUAAAUGCUCCUUCUGGCACAAG
Molecule: microRNA precursor, 84 nt
Organism: Coturnix japonica (Japanese quail)
Lineage: Eukaryota; Metazoa; Chordata; Aves; Galliformes; Phasianidae
Source: Ensembl